RNAcentral lists this ribosomal RNA (305 nucleotides) under uncultured bacterium. RNAcentral's name for it is "bacterial SSU rRNA". It matches the Rfam family "Bacterial small subunit ribosomal RNA", at positions 30 to 334 of the family's 1533-position model. The record is from RNAcentral.
AUUGAACGCUGGCGGUAUGCUUAACACAUGCAAGUCGAACGCGAAAGUGACCUUCGGGUCUUGAGUAGAGUGGCGGACGGGUGAGUAACGCGUAGGAAUCUGCCUGGUAGCGGGGGACAACCUGGUGAAAACCAGGCUAAUACCGCAUACGCCCUACGGGGGAAAGCAGGGGAUCUUCGGACCUUGCACUAUCAGAUGGGCCUGCGUCGGAUUAGCUAGUUGGUGAGGUAAUGGCUCACCAAGGCGACGAUCCGUAGCUGGUUUGAGAGAAUGAUCAGCCACACUGGGACUGAGACACGGCCCAG